Molecule: ribosomal RNA, 253 nt
Filed under: uncultured bacterium
Lineage: Bacteria
Description: partial 16S ribosomal RNA
Rfam family: Bacterial small subunit ribosomal RNA
Source: RNAcentral
UACGGAGGGUGCAAACGUUGCUCGGAAUCAUUGGGCGUAAAGCGCACGUAGGCGGCCUGUUAAGUCGGGUGUGAAGGCCCUCGGCUCAACCGAGGAAGUGCAUUCGAAACUGGCAGGCUUGAAUAUGGAAGAGGGUCGCGGAAUUCCCGGUGUAGAGGUGAAAUUCGUAGAUAUCGGGAGGAACACCAGUGGCGAAGGCGGCGACCUGGGCCAAUAUUGACGCUGAGGUGCGAAAGCGUGGGGAGCGAACAGG